AAGAAGCAUUAAUACUGAGAAGAGCUUUCCAACGUGAGAGAAAGUUUCGGGACAGGUCAGACCCGUUGGCAUUUCCCAAAACUACUUGCAUGAGAGGUCUUGAUUUUCCGGUGAUGGCAUCUGUUACUUGUGCAGACUGCGGGGUCCCUAAAUUGAGCACUGCACAGCGCGGAGCCACGCCCUCAACAUCUCACAGAUAAUCUGUGUUGCACUAUGUUUCUUUGCAGGUGGCAUGUUCUUAUAUUCAUUUGGAGAUGCUGAAAAUCUGAAUAAAGGCAUUAUUUGCCGCUCCAUCAGAAAUGUGUAUUUGGCAUUAAAAACAUUGGCACACAUCUGCAUCACCUUCCCUGGCCACAGAAGAAUUUGCUACAUUAAAGAGGAAUUCUAUAAGAUUGCCGCUUCCCUAAUGUCAUUGGAAAUCCUUCCACAGUAUCACUGUUCAGAUGAUCUUUGAUGCUGACUGCAUAAUUAGUAAUUUAGAGGCAAAGUGGCCUGGCUCAGUCCAUGACGAGUCUUUUGGGCCAGUGCAACUUACCAGCGACAAUCACAAGAUUACAUUUUCUCUGGCGUGUUGCUGGGAGACAAGGGUUUUGCCUGUCAGCCGUUCCUGCUCACUCCCCUUGCAGACCCUCAAACAGCAGCACAGCAAGCAUAUAAUCUUGCCCAUGCAAGAACAAGGGCCUGAAUUGAGAUGGCAUUUGGUCUUCUAAAGUCACGUUUUCACUGUCUUCACCACCUGAGGGUCACCCCAGACACCCUGCGACGUCACUGUUGCCUGCACUGUUGUACACAAUAUUGCCUGGCUCAGAAGGAAAUGGCAACAAAGUGGCAUUAGAGAUUGACUGAGACAAUGCUGCAAUAUUUCCAGACAAUGUCAAUGGCAGACUGGUCAGAGACCAAUACAUUGUUAAUUAUUUCAGUUGAUUGAUUUCUCUUUGAUGUAGCCUACCCUUUACUUAUAAAGGAUAGUCACUGUUUCAUGUGUAUGUGUAUUUUAUUUGGCAUUGGUUUCUGGUUGUGAGGUUUCAUAAUUGUAUAAUCUUCCCAAAUUAUAGUCUCACUUCACUGGACCAAUAACUAUAUAGUAUACUGUACAUUCAUGAAACAGGGAGAGGACACUACAAUGUUUUUGACCUUUUUAUUUUGCACUCGUCAGCUUGGAGCUUUUGAGAGAGAAAAACAAUGAUUAAUACAUUGUGUUACCGUCAUGCUUACAGUGUGCAUUGAAAUCACUUACUUCUCUGUCUAGUUUCAGGAUUUCCAGCAUCCUGCAGUUUUUUCUUGUGGAAUUCAAUCUUCACAUCUGCCAGCUCUAUUUGUCUUCGUAGGUGUUUGGUGUGCAGACGUCUGACAGUUUGUGAAUUUUGUAAAACACCUAUCAAUCAGCACAGCAGGAAUUGUGCAUAAUGUGGAUUUCCCUUAGGCAAUACUCACUAUGUUACCAGGUUUGCUAUCAGGCUGUACAGUGACACAGUCUCCUCCUCAUCUGCUGCAGAAGUGCCUCCCCCCUGCCAUAUUCAAUAGAACUUGUAUUGACCUAGUGUUGACAGGAUGUGUGAAGCCUAUGCCUUUAAUGAAUAAUACUCACCAGAUUAUUGUCUCAUGGCUCCAGAGGAGCGCGUGUGUUGCCAGACACUGCAAGGCAAGCCAAAGUCAGACAGUCCACAUAACACCAAAUAAAUGGUGGACUGUGACUCCAUGUGCAGUACUUGAAUAAUGUACCUUGUAUGAAGAGGGCAGUUUCUGUAGAUGGGAAAGAGUCAGUGACUGUUCCGCCCCUGGAUCCCUUCCAUCACAGGCCUCCCUUGGUUCAGGUCAAGGGCCAACUCCUCUGCUGGGGUGAAGUCUGGGGUUGGUGGGCCAGACACAUGAGCCUUUUUCUUAACUGCUAAAAUCAGUACAUGUGAGCAGGUGCCUCCUAAGUAAUGUAUAAACUUCAUUUGUACAUGUUAUCAACAAUCGAGGCAUUUCCAGCCUGCAAAAUGUUCUUAUACUUAAUGUAUGUAUCAGCUAUGUAUCUUAAAAUAGAUCAAAUUCUUUUUGACUUUCUGGCUGAGACAGCAUAAAUAUUAAUAACAUAUAAUCUUGUCCGGAACUUAUAAGAGUUUUGAUAAAGUACCAGACCAAUGAGGAGCUUUCACAAGAGUAGUAGUAAGCUGUAAGCUAAGAUUCAAACGAUAAAUAUCUCUAAUAAUGAUGCGAUGAAAGUUCACCUAUAGUAUAGGGCACCAAAACAGCCAGGACUGCCACUGACAGCCUACUGUUGCCUUUCAAAAUGACAGGUAGGACAAGAAAACACUUGGAUUAUAUCUAGCUUCUCUUAAAGCAAUGCUGUAAUACAAUACUGAUUCAUUUACUAAAUUAAUCACAUUAUUGAGGUGUAACUGAGUUAAGAUGGACAUAUAAUACACAGUGUUAAAACAGAAGCAGUCUGAUGGUGGGUGGACACCAUGCAGACUUUGAUUCUGCAGACAGAAAUGAAAUCAAGAAGUGAAAAGAUGUGGUUCCUGUUGCUGCUUCAGGUUCACAUCAUUGUCUGUUAGUGUUGUUGUGGAGAGUUUUCUAAUCUGGUGCCCCUAUUGGCAGUAAUCAGCAUAGAACAUCAUUUGUCUGUGCUUUCAAAAAAACAACACUGUGGUUAAGGUCUGGUUGGGUUUAGAGAAAGAUCAUGGUUUGGGAUCCCUAUAUCAGUCUAAAAUGAUCAAAGCAGUCUGAGUUUGUUCAAGUCUUUUAUUGCAGUCUUUGUUGAAGUUGUUUAUGUGGCUUCUUUAUAUACUGUUUUACUUAAAUAUGAUGUGCAAAUUAAUUGUCUUGGGACUGACAACAGGUUUGACUGUGUGGUUUUUGGUGAAGGAAGUGGUCUAUUUUAUGACGAGGUUGACUGUCAUGUAGGUCUCGUGCAGAUGAGAAGCAAAAAGAUCAUCAGCAAACUGUCCUAUGGAGAUUUGUGGUGACAUUUACUGACAGCACAGAAUGAAAUCAUAACUUUCUAAAGAAUGUUUUUAUAAUUUAAUAUUUAAUAAAAUGCUGACAUCUGUUUACAGCCUGAGUUGAUUACUUCUUAAAGGUUUUGAACACUGAGCUCUAUAGAGUUUGCAAAAUGUAUGAAUUUUGUUGCAGAUCAGUGUUUUCUUUAAUAUGUUAUUUCUAUUGUUCACCUCUCUCAUGAUUUCCUGUUUUAGGUCAAGAUGUGGUCAGGAUGUCGCAUGGUGAUUGUCUGUCAUUUAUAUCCUGUUAUGAUGUUGGAUGUUAAAUGUGUUCAAAGGUCCAAAACUUCAUCUUGCUCUGAACAAUUCGUGUUGCAGCAGUCUUUUCUACCCUGCUGACAAGCUGAUGUCAGCUCAUUACACAUGUCAAUUAAAGUGCGUCUGCUCUGUAGCCUUGAAUGCUAAGGUUGUUGCUAAGGUUGUUACAUGUGUUGUUCACGUUGUCCACUCAACAAAAUUUUGA
This is a long non-coding RNA of Thunnus maccoyii (southern bluefin tuna), 3450 nucleotides long. RefSeq lists it as uncharacterized. The record is from RefSeq and is a predicted model, not a curated record. The transcript is spliced from 4 exons. Lineage: Eukaryota; Metazoa; Chordata; Actinopteri; Scombriformes; Scombridae.